GACGAGGCACUACGGUGCUGAAGCAACAAAUGCCCUGCUUCCAGGAAAAGCCUCUAAGCAUCAGGUAACAUCAAAUCGUACCCCAAACCGACACAGGUGGUCAGGUAGAGAAUACCAAGGCGCUUGAGAGAACUCGGGUGAAGGAACUAGGCAAAAUGGUGCCGUAACUUCGGGAGAAGGCACGCUGACACGUAGGUGAAGUGAUUUACUCAUGGAGCUGAAGUCAGUCGAAGAUACCAGCUGGCUGCAACUGUUUAUUAAAAACACAGCAC
This 272-nucleotide ribosomal RNA is filed under the name Salmonella enterica subsp. enterica serovar Give. RNAcentral's name for it is "partial 23S ribosomal RNA". It matches the Rfam family "Bacterial large subunit ribosomal RNA", at positions 1568 to 1821 of the family's 2925-position model. RNAcentral also lists the same sequence under 1 other name. The record is from RNAcentral. Lineage: Bacteria; Pseudomonadati; Pseudomonadota; Gammaproteobacteria; Enterobacterales; Enterobacteriaceae.